UAGGGAAUCUUCGGCAAUGGGGGGAACCCUGACCGAGCAACGCCGCGUGAGUGAAGAAGGUUUUCGGAUCGUAAAGCUCUGUUGUUAAGGAAGAACGAGUGUGAGAAUGGAAAGUUCAUGCUGUGACGGUACUUAACCAGAAAGGGACGGCUAACUACGUGCCAGCAGCCGCGGUAAUACGUAGGUCCCGAGCGUUGUCCGGAUUUAUUGGGCGUAAAGCGAGCGCAGGCGGUUAGAAAAGUCUGAAGUGAAAGGCAGUGGCUCAACCAUUGUAGGCUUUGGAAACUGUUUAACUUGAGUGCAGAAGGGGAGAGUGGAAUUCCAUGUGUAGCGGUGAAAUGCGUAAAUAUAUGGAGGAACACCGGUGGCGAAAGCGGCUCUCUGGUCUGUAACUGACGCUGAGGCUCGAAAGCGUGGGGAGCGAACAGG
This 429-nucleotide ribosomal RNA is filed under the name Verrucomicrobiota bacterium. RNAcentral's name for it is "Verrucomicrobia bacterium partial 16S ribosomal RNA". It matches the Rfam family "Bacterial small subunit ribosomal RNA", at positions 355 to 776 of the family's 1533-position model. The record is from RNAcentral. Lineage: Bacteria; Pseudomonadati; Verrucomicrobiota.